GCAGGAUAAAAACGCCUGGAAGACUUCACUUCAGGGCUGGUGUUCGAUGGUGGCGGCCGCGUUUUGACUUCGUAAACCUGCUCAGUGUUGUUCAUGCAUUGGUUUAAUUUAGAACUCUGUGUGGAGAGGAAACCUGGUCAGUGACGAUGCAGGUUUGACUCCGGCAGAGAGCGUCUCUCCCGGUGUGAACCACACUGACUGCACUGGAGGAGCAGGAAGUCGACACAAACGAGGGAUGAUGAGGCAGCGAGGCAAGGGCCAGCUUCUCUCUGUCCUCACUGAACUAUUAAGAGGCCUGUUACUCACUGUCGGGUUCACAGUGUCAGAAUACAAAAGAUGCUUGAAACCUCUUCUUGGAAGUCCCUCAGGAGG
This is a long non-coding RNA of Solea senegalensis (Senegalese sole), 372 nucleotides long. RefSeq lists it as uncharacterized. Lineage: Eukaryota; Metazoa; Chordata; Actinopteri; Pleuronectiformes; Soleidae. The transcript is spliced from 3 exons. The record is from RefSeq and is a predicted model, not a curated record.